CACACACACACUCAGGGUUUUCAUAUCUUUAAAAUGAAGUCCAACACAACAUGUUUAACCCUGUGUUAUAAUUUAGAACUAAUUUUCAAAGUACCAUGAGGUUUGAAGGUUAAAGGCAAGAUCGACAUGCAGAACCAGUGAACAGAUGCCUGGGGCAGGUGUGCCUGGGUCCCCUUGCUGUCAUCUCUUGGAGAGUCCAACAAACGCACUGACCACAGGUCUUCUCACAGCUCUCACAGCCCUUCCCACCGCCCCACUUAUGGCCCCAAUUCCGCAUCACGUCCUCAUUCUCCUUAAGUACUCCCAGAAUGAAAGCAUUGAUAGAUUCCAGACCUGCAGAAAGUGUCAACCAGAGGCCAGUCCCUGAGAUAAAGCAUCUUCAACUUCCCAGUACCCAUAAAGAGAAGGGAACCUAAUAAAAAAAAUAAUUAAUAUUCACAGCUA
Molecule: non-coding RNA, 444 nt
Organism: Microcebus murinus (gray mouse lemur)
Lineage: Eukaryota; Metazoa; Chordata; Mammalia; Primates; Cheirogaleidae
Source: RefSeq, a predicted model, not a curated record